UGGACAGAUUAUUGCAUUCGACUGUAUUUCACUGUAUUCACGAUAUGAAAUAGGGGAUUACACUAUUUUUAAACGGAAAGUGAAUCAAUUAACAUAAUAGACUCCU
RNAcentral lists this microRNA precursor (106 nucleotides) under Nicotiana attenuata. RNAcentral's name for it is "MIR6152 microRNA precursor family". It matches the Rfam family "MIR6152 microRNA precursor family". The record is from Rfam by way of RNAcentral. Lineage: Eukaryota; Viridiplantae; Streptophyta; Magnoliopsida; Solanales; Solanaceae.